RNAcentral lists this long non-coding RNA (11163 nucleotides) under Sorghum bicolor (sorghum). RNAcentral's name for it is "long non-coding RNA (SBIC_LNC002633)". The record is from RNAcentral. Lineage: Eukaryota; Viridiplantae; Streptophyta; Magnoliopsida; Poales; Poaceae.
UCACCCUACUCUAAUAAGGUUUUGAUAUCUGGAGCUCAUAGGUGGGAGACAACUAAUACAUACUUACAAGACAUUUAUUGCAUAGUCAAACCAUGGAUCCAGAGAAACAAGUCAAUAAGUCAAAUCAAGAUGUGCAUGUGUGGCGAAUGAAUGGUGUUUGGUGAUGAUGGUGAUAAUGGUGAAAACAAUGGUGAAAGUCUAAUUCUACUUUUGCUCUUUUGAGGGGAUACAUACCUUUCUUGCACUUUUCAAACUUUUUGAGGAGAAUGAGAUGCUCUAUAUUUUCUUUUUCUUUUCUCUCAGGUGGGUAUCUUGUACCCCUAAUUCUGCUAUCGGACACUUGUCCAUUUUUACCUCUCGUCUCACUUUUUCUUUUCUUCGAGGUUCCGGGCACUUGCCCAUUUUUAUUUCCUCAUAUCCUUUCUCUUUAUUUUUUAGAGCACUCAUCUCCUGAAAUAAUAUAGCAAGUGGUAGUAACCAAGAUUUUUUUUUUACAAUUGCAAAGAAAUUUAUUACCCGCAGCAAGAAGCUGCUAAGAUGUUUACAGAGUUAAGGUCUACUUGGAGUAGAGCUUGAAACAGAGUACAGAUGGGGCCACAAACAGGCCUGAUACAAUUACAGUUUUGGAAUGUAAUCAUGGAGGUAUGGGCCUGUUUUGCUAAAGUAUCAGCUGUAGAAUUUUGACUUCGGUUGAUUUUGAAGAGUUGAGUCUGAAGAGUGGCUGCAGCAUUGAUGAAAACUUGUGUAAACGGUUUGAUUCUCCACUGGGGCGGGUUUUGUUGGUUCUCCUGAUGGAGAAAAUGCACCAGUUGCUGGGAAUCUGAAAGAAAGCUGCAGAAUGGAAUUUGAAGAGCCUGAACAAUAGAUACUCCAAGAGCUAGGGCUGCAGCCUCAGCCAUGAGAACGGAGUGGCAGCGCUGAAGUUUAGCUUGGACAUAGAUGUAUUGAGGCGGCUGUACCUGAAAAUUUAGGAUAAAUAUGCCUAGACCAGCAUUGUUAGCAUAUAUAUUUUGAUCAUCAGGGGUUACUGCUGCAUCAACAUAACAUCUUGAACCCUGGAGGUUUGCUGGUAGGGGGCAAUAGUGUGCUGCUGGCUGUUGUAGAUUUUCCUACAAAACUGAAAGUUGAUUACCUUGGUUUUGAGCAAUAUGAGAUGAUGCCUGGGCUGGAAUUUGCUCAUUUUGUGUCGUGUAGGCUUGGAUGGCUUCAUGAACCUGAGGUGCUGUCCAAUCCUUUCUGUUGAAAUGGUAGUCAUUCCUGGCUUUCCAAAUGAACCAGAGAGUAUAAAGAAACUUGCUCAAUAGAGCGUCAGGAGUGGUAUCAUUAACAAUAAGGGUUAUCGUUGAUUGGACACCAUCAAUUUCAGGGGUAAAAUUAGCUGUGUUGAUGGAAGGGUUGGCUGUGAGCCAUACCUGACGUGGGAGGGUACAUUGAAAAACAGAUGGUAGUCAUCUUCAAUCAUGUUGCAUCUAUCACAUGUGUUACUACCUGAGGAUGAAAAUCUGGUUGCUCUGUCAGCUGUGGCUAAGGCCCUUCUUAUGAGUCUCCAGGCGAAGGUUUUUAUGACAGGAGGGAUACUUUUGGUUUUCCAGAUCCUGCAUAGAAUUGUGUUAGCCUGAGGAGUGAUGCUUCUUGUACCUGUGGCAGGAAUAUGCAGAACAUUGUUAUUAGAGAGAUGUCUGUAGAUAGCUUUAACAGUUCCUAGUCCAUCUUUGGCAGGAGUCCAUCUUAGGAUGUCAGUGUCAGUACUGUCAACCGUAGGGGUAUUUAUAAUAUGGCCAAUGGCUUGAUUGUCAAAAGUGUUGGUGAGAAGAGGUAGGUUCCAAUUACGAGUGCCUGGGUACCAUAGUUGAUUUACAGUGCUUGGAAGAGGAAGAGUUGUGACCGGGAUGAGCAGGUGGUCAUGGAUGGACUUCCAAUAUCACACCGGGGGGCUGACCAAAUAGAGCUGUUCCCUUGAUGUAGUUGAAGCUGCACACUUUCCGAGAGUUCCUGUUUGACCUGCAAAAUUGAAGACCAGAAAGCGGACUUGGAAACAUUGUUAGUAGCUGUCCAGAAAGAGGAAGUGGGAUAAUACUUUGCUUUGAUGAUUUGUUGUAAGAAGGGGUUUUUGUUAGAUGCCAGAGUGUAAGCUGUGUGCAUAAUAAGGCUUUUAUUAACAAGAUGAAGAUCUCUUAUUCCUAAACCUCCAUUUUGACGAGAUUGACAGAUAUCUUCCCAAGACCUGAAAUGGAUGGGGUUAGUUGUAUUCUCCUCCUGGAUUCCUGCCCACCAAAAUCUUUUAAUGAUGGUUGUUAGUUCAGCAAUAAAAGUUUUGGAGAAGAGGAUGGUGGACAUAUAAUAAACAGGAAUGGCAGAGAGAACAGAUUGAAUAUAGGUGAGCCUGCCAGCAUGAUUUAAUUUGUUUGCUUUAACAGUGGUGAAUUUAGCAUGAAAUUUAUUCUUGAUGAAAGCAUAUGCUUUGUUCCUGUCUUUAUGAUUAAAAAUCAUGGGGUGGCCUAGGUGGAUUGUGUUUGGGUUCAGAUCAGGAACAGGGAAAAUGGAUUUAAUUUGAUUGCGUACCUGAUUAGAAACAUUCUUACUGAAUAAAAUGGAUGACUUGUUGAGGUUGGGGGUCUGACCCGAUCGAUCACAGAAGUCAUACAGAGCCGAGUGAAUUGACUGAGCUUCCUGUAAGUUGGCUUUUCCACAGAUGAUUAAGUCAUCUGCAAAAAGGAGGGAGUGGAUUGGGGGGCAGCCAUUGCCCAAGGUAAUACCUGCAAGUCUAGAAUUCUGCAGGUGGCAUUGGAGAGAGAUUGAAAGUUCAUUUAUAGCUACUACAAACAGAUAAGGGGAAAGAGGACAGCCUUGCCUUAUUCCUCUGUUGACCGAAAAACCUUCAGAGGGUUCACCAUUGACCAGCACCGAAAGAGUUGCGGUGGAGAUACACUGAUAGAUGAGAUUUAUAAAAGGAGCUGGAAGAUUGAGUCUUGUCAGAGCAGUCACUAUGAAGUCCCAUCUUAACCUGUCAAAAGCCUUAGCAAGGUCUAUCUUAAGAAGGAAAGCUUGGUUAGUCCAGGAUUUUAAAUUGAAAGAGUGAAUAAUUUCCUGAGCAAUGAUAAUAUUAGUGUAAAUAUGUCUGUCCUGAAUGAAAGCCGAUUGAGAAUAGUGGAUAUUGUGAGGGAGAUGAUGUUGGAGUCUUUCGGCCAAAGUUUUGGAAAUAAUUUUAUAGGCUACAUUGCAGAGACUAAUUGGUCUGUAAUCUUGAGGAAUAGUAGGUUGAGGCUUUUUAGGGAUUAGAACUAAGAAGGUUUGAUUAAUCUCGGGGUGCAUGAAAGCUUCAGUGUAAAACUUUGUUACCAGAUUUAGGAUGUCAGGAGCUAUCCAGGUCCAGGCUGAUUUGUAGAACGCUGCAUUGAGUCCAUCCGGGCCUGGGGAUGCAUUACUUCUCAUUCUUUUAAUUAUGUCAUGGAUUUCCUGCAGGGUAGGGAUAGAAUUGGUGUAAGCAAGAUCGGAAGAAUUAAUGUGUGGCUGAUAAGCUGGAGAGGCCGAAGUUAAUGGUUGGGUCGUAGCAUUGUUAGACGGAUGGGGAUGAACAUUAAUAUCUGUAUGAGCUUGACCUGCAUGUUCCUGCGCAGAGACAUUGUUGACAGCAAAAAUAUCGUGGAAGUAAUUUAGCAAAGUGGAUUGAAGCUGAUGUUGAGUAGUAGAAGGGGAACCAUCAGGAUUGAGUAAGAAAGUAAUUCUAUUUUUCCUUACUCUUUUGAUUAUGGCCUGAUGAAAAAAGGCAGUAUUACGAUCACCAUGAUUGGCCUAGUCUUUUUUUGCUCUCUGCAAGUGGAACUGUUCAUCUUUGUGAAGAAGCUGCUGGUGCUGCCGGGAGAGAGUAGCCUGCAGAUUGUGGUCUUGGAGGGUAGGGUGAAGAGCUUGAGCAUUAAGAAUUUGAGUUUCAAUGUUAGUAAUGAGAUCAUCCAAACGUGGUUUUCUCCUACGCCACUUUAUUUCAGAGGGAAAAACAGAAAUAGGAUAAUGUUUUUGGCUACUCCCUCGUGGAUAGGAGUAGAAUAAUUUUGGGUGAAUCUGGAGAUGGAAAUGAGUGGAUGUAUGUGGAUGCGUACUUCUGGAGUAGAAGCAGCAUGUAUGAGUGAACGUGCAAGUGAAUCUUGAUUUUAACCGCAUGACAAUCUUCUAAGGGUCUACACAGCUUGACCCACUCAAUGCUCAUAAGGAGUAAAAAAUAAAUGUAUGGUUCAUAGUCUAAUAAGCAUGUAUAUAUAGCUGUGGUAAGAUUUUAAACUCUCAUCAUAUAGGAACUCAUCAUGCAACCUUUUAAAUAUUUUCAAAGAUAAAAUUCUCUAAAAUUCUAGCAUCUCUAAGAACAGAUAAAAAACAGCUCAACCUUCCCAUAUCAUAUCCGUUAACGACAUAGACUUUAGAUCAAGUACUCUUCCCACAAGUUUAGGUUUAGAGCAAAUCUUAAUUCAUAACAGUCAUGCCUAAACUUAAGAGAGAAUUCAAUUUUGAGAACUAGUCAUGGCAGAGCAACUAUUCAUCAUUUCCAUGUGAGAGCUUAUCAUGAGGGUGAUAGCAAACUUUAUUUAUUUAUUUAGCAAACUAAGCAAAGAUAUAUAUAUAUAAGCAUAAAAUCUUUAUUUGGGUUUUUAUGAUUAUGCAUCUUUUUAUUAUUUGAGUAAAGUAUAAACGCGAGUAGAAACACUUAGCUAGAUAAAUGGGGGUGCUCUCCCCCAUGCUGAAUUUUGACGUAAUUUUUUUUGAUGUAGCUAGCAGGUGGCGGAGGUGUAUUUGAAUGUCAGCAGCACCCUGACAACGAUUAGGAUGUCCUCCGUCUGCUAGUCUUCUUUGAUCCUUGAAUUAUGUGGACCUCAAAUAGACAACAAAGCUUUGUGGAACUAGUUAAGUGUUAGCAUAAAUAUCUAGCCUUUAUCAUGUUGAGCGUCCUCUAAUAAAUAUUACUCUCUAUGGUAGGAUCAUAAAUUUAUUUUUAUAUUUUCAUUUCUAUAGAACAGGAAUAUAUUUAUUUUAUUUUGAUGCCACCACAUUGAAUGUACUUAUGUGUUUUAUGCCAUGAGCAUACUCACAUGAGGCUUACUAUUUUUAACAUUUUUUUCUUUUCAAGAUACCAUGAUUAACUAACAAGCCAUUUAAGGAAAUUAAAUAAUUUAAGGGAACACGGAAUGCAGAAAGGAUAAGUAUGGAUAACUACCGAUUUUACCUUUCGGCAAGGGUUCAAUGUUUUAAGUCUUCUGAUCAAGACUUCUCACCGUGUUCACUCUUUAGGAGCGUCAUUUGAUUCAGGUGUGGACCUUGACGUCUGCACCUCUUGAUACAGUGUCACCCAUGUUCUUCGUUUACCCAGCAGUUCGAACUGCGGCGUUGGCAGUAUCUUGAUCAGUGUGUUUGUGCUCAUAGAUCUAGGUCCUUCACUUGGUAAAGUCUGAGAGUUGAAAAAUCCUCCAUGUUUCUCAAAAUGUGUCCUGCUCAUAGAGACAAGGCAGAGAUCAAGUGCAUGGGUCCUGUUGGUGGAAAACACCAACAGAACGAAAAGUAUAUUUAUUCUUCUCUAUCCUUAAGCAUAGGGAGUAAGACAAAGUUGAUGGGUGAUAAGUUCAUGAGUGUAGCAUUUAAAACAUUUGUCAGAUCAGAUCGCUCAACCUUAUGGAAAGAUAAUCUAUCUAUGUAUAUGUCUUUUUAUUUAUAUCUUCCCAAAUAUUGAAUGUGCAACAUUUUAGCUCAUAUGAUUAGGAGUGUAGGAUCAUGGAGGUAGUACUAGGAUCAAAGAUUAAAGGACUAAACAUGCUGAAUCAGUUGGGUUGGUUAAUUUGGAGUUAUAAAUCAUACAUGUUUGUCUCUUUAUUUAUGUGAACGCGAGAACCAAGGAGAAGCUUAUAAAAGUGAUAGUCACAUAUCUUAAGAUGUUACCUUAAUUGAAGAGUGAUGGUACCAUCUCACCUUGUGGAAGCUUCCCAUUCGUAGUGGUUGUGUAUCUUGUUUAUGUACUUUGUCUCCAUCCAUGGAUCAUCUCUCUAUGAUGAAUGAGCUCUGUCCUUCUUGUGCAAAUUGUUAAACUUCAUGUGUCUCUCUCUCCAUCUCUGAUGUGAGUUUAUCUCAGGACUUCCCAAAUCGAUAUUGAAAGUUUUUCUGCAAUGGUUAGUCUGACAAAAUAUACCAAUGUCUACACAAAUAGUUUUUAGUUCAAUAACCAAACUAGACUCCAUGUCUAAUUAGAUUAAGGAAGGCUGUUUAACCUAAGCACCAUGCUUAAUUUAAAAGCCAAUAGAAGUAUGUGCAGUACUUCCAAACUAACACUUACUAGGAUAAACAAAGGUAGCGUGAUGGCAUUUAUAGAGAUCUACUCAAGUGGAGAUGAAGUAGUGUAAUUAGUAUUUAACAAAUUGAGCAUGUCUCAAAGGUAGGGACAACCAACAUAGCAACAUAGCAAAGGAUGUUUUUAUGUAAGGUACUCCUCCAAGCUUGAAUUUUGUAAAAUUCAAGUUUGGAUGAAUUUAAUUCAGUGUUGCAUAAUGAUUGGUUGGACAUACCUUGUACUUGCUUGUCGUUCAUCUGAUCUUCUUGCUCCAAUCCUGGAAAGGUUAGUGACAAGAAUACCCGAAGGAAUAUUUUUACAAUUAUCCUUAUAUGCUCAAUACACCAGGUAAUGUUGCAAAAUGCUCAUGUUAUGAUCGGAUCAGUGCUUAUUUUAGGAAACUAAGCUUGUCCUUGGGAAACCAUCAGUUUAUGUUGGCGAAGUGGUUUCCCCUCCAACGCCAACCUUUGUAUAUCAAGAUUAGCUCAACAAGAUCUGCAAUAUUUAUUAUAGACAUAUGCAUCGACAACCGCCCUUUUAAAGUUUUUGUAAAUACAAAGGAAGAGGGGGUUGGCGAUCUCAAAUGUGGUGAUGUUGGAGAGACAAAUAAAUUGGGAAGAUGUUUCAUAUGAGCACGGAGUAAACGAAGAGGCUAUGAAAUAAAUUCCAUGCUCAUUAAUGUUAUCUUCGUCUCUAAUCUGAAUGUUCAAAGUUUCUUUUGGAUUGGUCCCAUCUAUGUCCUCUUCUAUAGAUGGAUGAAUCUCAUAUUCAAGGGGAGUUAAAGACUCAACAUCUGAAAUUAAGCCAAGGUCAGAAUCCAUUAAGGCUUCUUCCUUCUCCAUCCAUUCUACACAUUCUAGCCAUUUAGAACUUGUGAUCAGGAAAGGGGAGGUGUUAGAAUUUUCUAUAUGGCUUAGCUCUCCUUCUAUGACAUUACUUAACAUGUCAUCCUCAUGGUCUUUAUGACUCCUAUGGUAUGAUCGUCUUGAUGGAUUGCUAGGAUCAUCAUGAGACUGAAAAGGAGAGGGAUAAGAGGGGUCUCUAAGGUCAAGGAUGGAUUUAGAAUUUGUGAACAUGGAAGGGGAGCAGAUAGAAUUUUUGAUAUGGUUUAGCUCUCCUUCACUUGAUAUGUCAUCCUCGACUUCUUCAUAACAGGAACCAGGUGUUGACACUAGCUAACACCACUUAGAUACUAGGUUGUCAUCCCUAGCAUGGCGCCAGAGUGUACAAAGGUAUUUAUAAAUGUAAAGGCUCUCUCGAAAAUAAUCUAUUCUAUCCGCAAGCACACAGAUAAAACACCUCAUUGUAGCAUUUCACCAGGAUAAGUAUUCCAGGUAUCGUUAUUUAUAAUUUUGCUCAAGGGAUCUCAAGAAGAUGAAAUUAAAUCAAGGGGCAAAAUCUAUCAAGGCAUAGACUAGAGAUAAACUUGCAAGAACAUGAUUACUAAUGAGAAACUCGUCACACAGUCACAUACUUUAGCAGGGGGUAAACCAUAAAGAUAAUGAUAAUAAAGUAUAAGUUCAUGGGAUAAAGAGCACAACGAUUAGAAAAUAGACUACUCAUAUAUGUAGGUGAUGUCGGAUUAGCUAGAGAAUGAAUUCUAAGUUAUCUACUAACUACUAAGUCAUAAUCUACUCUAGUUAUCUACAAGAUCAUAUAUAGCAUAAAAGACUCUUCAUUCAUGUAUAAGGAACAUUGAUAAAGUAAAUCAGAACAUCGCAUGACUUACUCCACAAUACCGGUUCUGCCUGUCCUAUCAACGGAGGGUGGACUAUAUAAGAAUCAACGAAGCUGUCACUAUCGCGAACUACGACACGACCCGGCCAAUAGGAUACAUUUGCAGAUAAAUAACAUCUAAGCACCACGCAUACAUGUGAUCUAUCACCUAACUCCCACGCGUCAAGAGCUAAGCGCUUUGCAAACUUAUACAUAAACUCAUUAUCAGUUAGAACUAUAUCAAAUAUAGAACUAGAGCAAACUAAGAACAUAAUAAUUAGAGACAUAAUGCAAUUAGAACAAAGAAUUAGAGAAAGAUAUGAAUAAUACCAAUCUUUAUUACCGAAGAUCCGAAUCCAGAGCGUAGUGCUCUACUUCUCUAAUUUCUAUCUAAUCAACCUCUAAACUUGAAGGAUUAGGGAGUAGCUAAUUCUAAUUCUCUGUGGGAGAGAAGCUCUAAACCCUAGCUUUCAUGGCUACCUCUGAAUAAUGAUUUCUCCUCCUCUCCUCCAGGGGCCAGGGGGUCUGGUUUUAUAGUCCCCUCAAGUGAACGUGAGCCAUUGGAUCAAACCGACAUAGAUUGUAUGGUUUAGAUUGAUCCUUUAGGUCGGUGGAGUCUUGCCCCGAAGCAGAGUCCUGUUUGGAGUCCAACCCUAGGCGGGCGCCCAAGGGGGGUGGGCGGGCGCCCUGCCCCCGAGCCCGAAUCCAUUCUCGUUCGUUCCCGUGGCUUCUAGACCCUUCUAGAUUGAGGAAAAUUGCGCGGCAUGUAAUUAUCUCGUUGUAAACAUGACAUGUGGGCCUUCUCUCCAUAAUUCCUGAUAAACCCCUGCAGAAAUAGAUAAACACCAAAACUCAUGGAAUUCUGUCAGAUAAAACCCUAAUUCUAGAUGUUUGUUUCAUAUUGAUCCCUUUUCAUGUUUAUUUGAUUAUUAAUUUUAGUGCUUAAGGACCGUCAACAAACUCCCCCAAGCUUACCCUUUGCUCAUCCCUGAGCAAAUAGCUAAACUCAGAUGAAUCAGAAGUUGCUUCGAUGUUUUCUUUCCUCACAGGCACACAUGCUUUUACAUAAAAAUUCUUCCAGAUUAAAGUGAAGUGUUAUGGAGUUUAGAACCUGCACUUAAAUCUUAAGUAAUCGAAAGACAAAAUAGUUAAGUCAAGCACUAUCCCUCCUGUUUAUACUUCACCUUUGUUCCAGAGUUUUUCAUAAGUAAAAUAAAACUCAGAGUUCCCAGCAAUGAUUCUCUCAAGUCUCUCUAUAUGUGGUAUUUGUGGAUCCUUACCAUGAUGUCACUUACCUAUAACUAAUGGAAUAUUUAAGUCGAGCUCAUAGGAGUGAAAAAUAGCUCAUACAUAUGUUGUCUAAUCGAGCCAUGGAUCCAAAGGAACUCAGCAUAUAAUUAAAUCAAGAUGUGCAUGUGUGUUGGAGUAAAUGAUAGUGAUGGUGAAAAAUGUAUAAGUGUUAAUAAAACUUAGUUCUCAUUGCUCCUCAUAUUGCUAUCUCUCCUCAUCUUUGCUUUGGGAGAACAUGGGCUAUCUUUUUCUUUUCUUUUUCUCUUCUCUUUUUUUAGGUGGGUAGUAGAUACCCCUAAUUCUACUGUCGGACACUUGUCCAUUUUUUCCGCUCAAGUGGGUAUCUUUGUACCCCUAAUUCUACUUCGGACACUUGUCCAUUUUUACCUCUCGUCUCACUUUCUUUUCUUUCCUUUUCGAGGUUCCGGGCACUUGCCCCUUUUUAUUUCCUCGUAUAUUUUUGCAUAACCCAUGCCUCUUCUGCAUUGAAUCUUUUUAGAGAGAGAAUAACAAUAUUCGGGACUGCGAGUGAUAAUAUUUUUAGCAAAUUUAAUGAUUGGUGAUGAAUGCUGUGGUAGAUGUGUGCCAGUGAAUAUCUUAAUUUAACCACAUGAAAAGCUCCUAAGGGUCUACACAGCUCGAUCAAACUCAAUGUGAAUAUAGUAAAAGAUCUUAUAGCAAGUAUGGCUGUGGUAGGUAGUUUGUUAUGCUAGGAACUCAUCAUGUGAUUUGUAAGUUUUCAAAAUAAAUCUCCAGAACUUAGUGUAGUAGAAACAAGAUAAACAGUAGCCCAACUUUAUAUCAUGCCUUUCUCUUACCUAGACUUUAGUUUUAUGCUUCCCAAAGAUAGUAAUUUUAGUUUUAGUAAUUCCUGAAAGAAUUCUAAUAUAAAAGCUACGUACUUGUAAGUAAGCAAACAGAGCAACUGUUCAUCAUUUCCAUCAUGCAUCUUUUUUUUGGUUUUUUUAUUUUUGUCUAGAGAUUAAACUUAGCAAAAAAAUAAAGCACACUUAUCUACACACUCUUUUUAUUUUGUUUUCAUGUUUAUUAAAAUGCAGUAAAUUAAAGCAAGAAAAUAUUUAUUUGGUUUUCUAAGUUUUUCCUUUUAAGAUAAAUUAAAUACUAAGACAGAAUAGAAUAAAUAAGAAGAGCAAAUAAAAACUUACUUGAUAAAUUGGGGAGGAACUCCCCCAAGCUGGAUGUUGACGUCGGUCUUACCCGAUGUUCCAAAACCGCAUCAUAGUUGUGAUGUUGUCAUUCAUUGUUGUUGUAUCUUGUCUUAGUUCUUGCACUGCAGCGGCAUGGUCCUGGUUCCAUUUUUGUUGCUCUUCCAGGAGUCUUCCAUGUUCUGCUUGCGUGUUCUGGAUGUUGAGGAGGGUGUGGUCGGUACGAGUGAAGAAAGCACCGGCCUCUUGAUAGUAGUCAUUCGUGAAAGCGUAGGAGGCGUCGGAGUAUCGUCCUGCAUCAAAUUGGGGCGGAGGUCUAGAUCCUGAAGCUCCAUAUGGAUCAGUGGAGUACCUGCCUGUAUGAAAAGGCGGGUUUGUCCACUGGUGAUCUUGGCUCUCCGGCCAUGUCUCCUCUGUUGGCUCUUGUGGUUGCGCAUGUCGAACCCAUGGGUCUCGAAGGACUCGAGGAUUGUAAUCGCAAUAAUGCAGGUGCGCUGCUUCUUCUGGACUAGGGUCAGCUCCAUACCAGGUGCGUUCUCGGUGAGUGGUUAUCCUUUCAGAUGCCACUCGCUGUGGAGUUCUCUGGUUCACUGGUGUUGCUGCAAUCUCAAUCAAAAGGUUUUGCACAACGUAGAGGCCAAGGUUCGGGUUAGGUAACCGAAUCUUGCCUUUAUCAUCAUAUAGCAU